GACGAACGCUGGCGGCGUGCUUAACACAUGCAAGUCGAACGGAAAGGCCCUGCUUUUGUGGGGUGCUCGAGUGGCGAACGGGUGAGUAACACGUGAGUAACCUGCCCUUGACUUUGGGAUAACUUCAGGAAACUGGGGCUAAUACCGGAUAGGAGCUCCUGCUGCAUGGGGGGGGUUGGAAAGUUUCGGCGGUUGGGGAUGGACUCGCGGCUUAUCAGCUUGUUGGUGGGGUAGGGGCUUACCAAGGCUUUGACGGGUAGCCGGCCUGGGAGGGUGACCGGCCACAUUGGGCCUGAGAUACGGCCCAGACUCAUACGGGCGGCAACAGUGGGGACUUUUGCACACUGGGCGGAAGCCUGAUGCAGCAACGCCGCGUGCGGGAUGACGGCCUUCGGGUUGUAAACCGCUUUCGCCUGUGACGACGCGUGAGUGCCGGUACUGGGUAAAGAAGCACCGGCUACCUACGU
Molecule: ribosomal RNA, 467 nt
Filed under: uncultured bacterium
Lineage: Bacteria
Description: partial 16S ribosomal RNA
Rfam family: Bacterial small subunit ribosomal RNA
Source: RNAcentral